Molecule: ribosomal RNA, 377 nt
Filed under: uncultured bacterium
Lineage: Bacteria
Description: bacterial SSU rRNA
Rfam family: Bacterial small subunit ribosomal RNA
Source: RNAcentral
UACGUAGGGUGCGAGCGUUGUCCGGAAUUACUGGGCGUAAAGAGCUCGUAGGUGGUUUGUCGCGUUGUUCGUGAAAACUCACAGCUUAACUGUGGGCGUGCGGGCGAUACGGGCAGACUGGAGUACUGCAGGGGAGACUGGAAUUCCUGGUGUAGCGGUGGAAUGCGCAGAUAUCAGGAGGAACACCGGUGGCGAAGGCGGGUCUCUGGGCAGUAACUGACGCUGAGGAGCGAAAGCGUGGGGAGCGAACAGGAUUAGAUACCCUGGUAGUCCACGCCGUAAACGGUGGGUACUAGGUGUGGGUUUCCUUCCUUGGGAUCCGUGCCGUAGCUAACGCAUUAAGUACCCCGCCUGGGGAGUACGGCCGCAAGGCUAAA